This 253-nucleotide ribosomal RNA is filed under the name uncultured bacterium. RNAcentral's name for it is "partial 16S ribosomal RNA". It matches the Rfam family "Bacterial small subunit ribosomal RNA", at positions 524 to 776 of the family's 1533-position model. The record is from RNAcentral.
UACGUAGGUGGCGAGCGUUGUCCGGAUUUACUGGGCGUAAAGAGCGCGCAGGCGGUCGUUCAAGUCGCGUGUGAAAGCCCCCGGCUCAACUGGGGAGGGUCACGCGAUACUGAUCGACUCGAAGGCAGGAGAGGGUAGUGGAAUUCCCGGUGUAGUGGUGAGAUGCGUAGGUAUCGGGAGGAACACCAGUGGCGAAGGCGACUACCUGGCCUGUUCUUGACGCUGAGGCGCGAAAGCUAGGGGAGCAAACGGG